Molecule: ribosomal RNA, 267 nt
Filed under: uncultured bacterium
Lineage: Bacteria
Description: partial 16S ribosomal RNA
Rfam family: Bacterial small subunit ribosomal RNA
Source: RNAcentral
CAUUCGAGUGGCGGACGGGUGAGUAACGCGUGGGUAACCUGCCUUACACAGGGGGAUAACACCUGGAAACAGGUGCUAAUACCGCAUAAGCGCACAGGGCCGCAUGGCCCGGUGUGAAAAACUCCCGGUGGUGUAAGAUGGACCCGCGUCUGAUUAGCUUGUUGGCGGGGUAGGGGCCCACCAAGGCGACGAUCAGUAGCCGGCCUGAGAGGGUGAACGGCCACAUUGGGACUGGGACACGGCCCAAACUCCUACGGAAGGCAGCAG